This 253-nucleotide ribosomal RNA is filed under the name uncultured prokaryote. RNAcentral's name for it is "partial 16S ribosomal RNA". It matches the Rfam family "Bacterial small subunit ribosomal RNA", at positions 524 to 776 of the family's 1533-position model. The record is from RNAcentral.
UACGGAGGGGGCCAGCGUUGUUCGGAAUCAUUGGGCGUAAAGGGCGCGUAGGCGGCCGACCAAGUCGGAGGUGAAAUCCCUCGGCUCAACUGAGGAACUGCCGUCCAAACUGCUUCGCUUGAGACCGGGAGAGGUGAGUGGAAUUCCCAGUGUAGCGGUGAAAUGCGUAGAUAUUGGGAGGAACACCAGUGGCGAAGGCGGCUCACUGGACCGGUACUGACGCUGAUGCGCGAAAGCGUGGGGAGCAAACGGG